Unclassified non-coding RNA from Callithrix jacchus (white-tufted-ear marmoset), 148 nucleotides. It matches the Rfam family "Metazoan signal recognition particle RNA". From Rfam's summary of the family: The signal recognition particle (SRP) is a universally conserved ribonucleoprotein. NCBI's taxonomy places the organism in Eukaryota, Metazoa, Chordata, Mammalia, Primates, Cebidae. The record is from Ensembl.
GCUGGGUGUGGUUGUGUAUGCCUGUGAUCCCAGCUACUUGGGAGGCUGAGGUGGGAGGAUUGCUUGAGCCCAGGAAGUUGAGGCUGCAGUAAGCCAUGAUCAUGCCACUGCACUCUAGCCUGGGUGACAGAGCAAGAUCCUGUCUCAA